Molecule: transfer RNA, 71 nt
Filed under: Candidatus Woesearchaeota archaeon
Lineage: Archaea; Nanobdellati; Candidatus Woesearchaeota
Description: tRNA-Gly
Rfam family: tRNA
About the family: Transfer RNA (tRNA) molecules are approximately 80 nucleotides in length.
Source: RNAcentral
GCGCUAGUAGUUGAAUGGUACAAUACGGCCUUGCCAAGGCUGUGGCCCGGGUUCGAUUCCCGGCUGGCGCA